This 275-nucleotide RNase MRP RNA is filed under the name Spinacia oleracea (spinach). Its description in RNAcentral is "RNase MRP". It matches the Rfam family "RNase MRP". Rfam says of the family: RNase MRP is an enzymatically active ribonucleoprotein with two distinct roles in eukaryotes. The record is from Rfam by way of RNAcentral. Lineage: Eukaryota; Viridiplantae; Streptophyta; Magnoliopsida; Caryophyllales; Amaranthaceae.
GGGUUGGAAGGUUGGAGUGAAUGGGCCUUGGGCUUGUGUAAAGCAGGUCUUGGCCCAGGAAAGUCCCCGGGCUUAUUUUCCACAGAGAUGUGGGUCUCGGAAACGAGUAUGCUUUACGAUGAAGGAUUCAGUUUCGCAUUCGUGUGAAACGGGGCUGAGACACGUGUGUGGAGCUCAUAUGAAUCUCUUACGGAAGUAUUUAUGGCCGAUUAACUACAGUUAUUCACUUGGGACUCCUUUGAACCUAACUGAACGGGGCUUACAACCUUUCAACC